Rattus norvegicus (Norway rat) is the source of this 134-nucleotide small nucleolar RNA. Ensembl annotates it as small nucleolar RNA SNORA70. The record is from Ensembl. Lineage: Eukaryota; Metazoa; Chordata; Mammalia; Rodentia; Muridae.
CUGCUACCAAGUAAGCCAAACCAGUCCCUUUCUGCACAGGGGCCUUGUCUGCAAUGACCGUGAGCUGCAGCCUACUUGGGAGUGCAUUCAACCUUUGCCUACAGGGGUUGCCCUAAGGAACCUUGGAGACUGUU